Long non-coding RNA from Homo sapiens (human), 3857 nucleotides. Ensembl annotates it as long intergenic non-protein coding RNA 2882. NCBI's taxonomy places the organism in Eukaryota, Metazoa, Chordata, Mammalia, Primates, Hominidae. The record is from Ensembl.
UAUAAAAUGCAUGGAGCAAUGGGACUCUUUAUAUGCAACUGGUUUGUGUGUACAUUUUUACAAUCAUUUUGAAUACUCUGGUAUUAUCUGCUGAAAUUGAAAGUAUCCAUACCCGAUAAACAAACAAUUCCAGCCUUGAGUGAAUUGCCCAUAGGAGCAUAUCAGGACCCAUGCAUAGAGAUGCUUGUAGCAGGAUUAUUAAUAAUUGUCCCAAAUUAAAAAUAACAAUAUUUAUUUACAAUAGGAUGGAUACACUUCUAUAUAUUUAUAAAAUGGAAGGCUUUACAGUGAAGAAGUUAAUCAAACCAAAGCUAAAUUCAACACCAUGGAUUCAUUUUUUAAAAAAAUAUUGAGCCAAAGAAGCACACUAAAAAAAUGUAUUUAGUAUGAUGUUUUUUGAUUAAAAAUACAUAAAGAGGAAAAACUCUGCUCUAUUAUGAUGCACAUAUGGGAGGUAAAACUAUAAAGGAAAUUACAAAAGUGAAUACAAUAAGAGUCAAGACAAUGUUAACCUCAAGGGGUUAGGAAGGAAAUGUGAUUAUGAAGGGAUAUAGGGUUGAUGGGAAUGUUUUCUAACUUAACCUGGAUGUUGGUUGCAUAAAUGGUCAAUGCAUGAUUUUCCAUUUUAAUGUACAUUUAUGUAAUGUUGACAUCUCUGACAUAUUUCAUAAUAAAUAUUUUUAAAGGUACCAGCAACUCAUAUACCUGAUAAACUGAAUGCAAAUACUAUGAAUGAGCAUUAGCAUUGCUUAGCUAAUAAACAAAAGUUCAAGGAGCAAAAAAGCUCAAUUUUGUGCCAUUGUAACAACUGCAAAUAAGGAGUAUGUAAUGAAUCAGAUUUUAUUGUUAAACCAGAAACAUUCUUAUGCUAAAAUCAGCUUAACAUAAACAAAAGUUGAUUCAGUUUGUUCAAGACUUCAGAGGGAAAGCAUAAAGUGACAAAAUUGUUUUCACUAUAAAUAGGUUAAGUAAAGAUUGUGGGGUUUUGUUGUUGCUGUUGUUUUUGUUGUUGUUUUGAGAUGGAGUUUCGCUCUUGUUGCCCAGGAUGGAGUGAUGGAGUGCAGGGGCGUGACCUCAGCUCACUGCAACCUUCACCUCCCAGGUUCAAGUGAUUCUCCUGCCUCUGCCUCCCGAAUAGCUGGGAUUACAGGUAUGCACUACUACACUGGGCUAAGUUUUGUAUUUUCAGUAGAGAUGGGGUUUCACCACUUGGCCAGGCUGGUCUCGAACUUCUGACCUCAAGCAAUCCUCCCGCCUUAGGCUCCCAAAGUGGUGGGAUUACAGGCCUGAACCACAGGGCCCAGCCUUGGCUUGUGGUUCUUUUACUAAAUAUGGAAUAGCGAUAAAGCUUAUGUAUCAUAUUUGUAAAAGAAAGCUAGGCACAUGAAGCAGAAUUAAUUCAUGAGGGAAAAUAUUUAUUUUACUCUCAAGUCUCCCGAAAGUUAUUGUAUUCAUUUAAACUCAAUUUCUAAUUUUUUUAGUUACCCAAAUACUAUUGCAUUAAAUGCAUUAAAGAGAGCAUUGUACCUAGCAGAUAUGUGAGAAACAGUUUGACUUUUUAACCACUAAAAAAUGUCCAAAUAUCAGAAUUUAUUUUAUUUUAAAUUUCAAAAAAAUCCUUAUUUUAUAUGAUAAAAAUCAAGUUGAUUUGUAAGUCAUAUAUAUCAGCUUAUUAUCAAGAACUAUUGCUAUGUAAAAGAACUUAGGACUGUGUAAUUAGAACUAUGUAAUAGAAAUAUUUACAGAAGACUAUAUCUGCCAACAUGAGAUACUCUACCACCAUAACUUAUAUCAAUGACUCUUGUUCUAUCAUCGUGUGCAUUAUAAAUAGUGCAAAAUUUCAAGAAAUUUCCAUUUUGAGAUAUAAGAAAUCAAUAUGCUGGGAAAACUAAUAUCAAACUCUGAAGUAGAUAUAUUUCAUUUUAUAUAUAUUUUAAAUGACCUUUAACUAAAGGUUAAAUUGGAUUGACACACUGAAGAUAAAUUUUUUUAUUAUUAUCAUCAUUAAAUUAUUAUUUUGUGACUAUUACUAUUCAACUAACACUACAUCUGAUAAUAUAAUGAUAAACACAUUCCUUUUUUAUAUUAACUAGCAUUUUUUUCGAGUUUCUUAAAGCUUUGUUUGCAACUCUGGAUGAUUUAUGUGGGACAUGAUAAAACCAAUCUCCACACAGGCUAAUUUGAGACCUGGCAUCAUUGUCUCUCUCUGAACAAUCUGGAAGCUUUUUUAUGGUAGUGAAUUGCUCAUUUGGGGUGCGAGGAUUGAAGCAGGCAAGUGUCUGGGUCAUUAUGUGCUCAGCCAUGUCUUACAUAGGUGUUUGGAUUUGUAUAGCACUGGUUAAUCUGUAAUGUGUUUUAAUUUAGAGACAUAAAUUCUGGCCAGAAUUCUAUGCUUUAAUUAAAUAGUGUCAAGGGAUUGAUCGCAGCAUAUUGAUCCAUAACUGAACAUUUUAUCCAUGAAGUCACAGGUCCAGUGAGGUAAGUUACAUUUUUAAUUCCAUUCUGAUUAUAGUCUAUUAUCAGGACAAUGUAUAAUUUGCAUGUUUUUCAUUUGAGAGUAAUGAUACAUAGCCAUUGAUAAGCCAUGUUCCUCUUCCUUUCACCCCAUUAAGCUACAAGUUUGGAUAAACAAGUGUACUUAAUUUCAAUUUCAUAUAUUGUUUGAUGGCACCCCUGAGAAUAAAGAGGCAGGUUUCAUAAGACAAUGGGCUAACUUAAAAUCAGUUUUUGGAUACUGUUUCAUACAAACUGAAUACACUUAACUAGAAAAUGAUAUCUCUACUUUUUCCUUUCAAAGAUAAUGACACUCCUUUUUUCCCCCUCAGUCAUCAUUGCCUAGAAUACCCUACUUCAAACAAUGAAACUCACUUUCAAUCUAUCAUCAUCUUUCACUCUUCAGUGAAACCCCAUGUAGCUUCCAGAUGUGGUUUCAGGAUUUCUCUAUAUUGUUGGAGAGAACAAGAACCUGAGACCUGCCGAACAGCAGGUGCCAAAGAUGCUGCUGUAACACCACAGCCCUCCCAUCUUCCAUCCUCCACUGGCGCUGAGUGGCAGUCCCAUGUGACAGGAAGUGGAGGCAGAGCUGGGCCAGCCCAGGAGCCACGUGCUGGAGCCAGAUACUCUGUUUUUCUACAAAUGGAAAGUUUGUGGCAUCCUUGACUCAAGCAAAUUUUUCAGCACCAUUUUUCAAGAGCGUGUGCUCACUUCACCUCUCUGUAUCGUGUUUUGAUGCUUGUCCUGGAAACCAACCAUGAGCUGUGAUGAAAUCCAGGCAACUGAGUUGUGUUUCAGCCCAAAGCAGCAAAUGGAAUCCAGCUUCAGGACCAUCAUCUGACAUAGGGGAAGAAGACUUACAUAGAAGGCCUAACCAGCACCCAAGAUCAUGCUCAUAGGUGGAGGAGACUUGCUUUGUCUCAGAUGAGACUUUGGACUGUGGACUUUUGAGUUAAUGCUGAAAUGAGUUGAGACUUUGGGGAACUGUUGGGAAGGCAUGAUUGGUUUUAAAUAUGAAUAUAUGAGAUUUGGGAGGGGGUCAGGGGUGGAAUGAUAUGGUUUGGCUCUGUGUCCCCACCCAAAUCUCAUCUUGUAGCUCCCAUAAUCCUCCCAUGUUGUGGGAGGGACCCAGUGGGAGAUGAUUGAAUCAUGAGGGCGGGUCUUUCUCAUGCUGUUCAUGAUCCCAUUCAUGUGAGAAAGACCCAUGUGAUCAUGAAUGGGUCUCACAAGAUCUGAUGGUGUUAAAAAUGGGAGUUUCUCUGCACAAGCUCUCUGCCUGCUGCCAUUCACAAAGGAUGUGACUUGCUUCUCCUUGCCUUCUGCUAUGAUUGUGAGGCCUCCCUAGCCAUGUGGAACUGUGAGUC